RNAcentral lists this long non-coding RNA (1548 nucleotides) under Helianthus annuus (common sunflower). The record is from RNAcentral. Lineage: Eukaryota; Viridiplantae; Streptophyta; Magnoliopsida; Asterales; Asteraceae.
GAAAUAUUUCUAAGAGCUGCAUGGAUGGCUGGCAAUUUAGUGGGUUGAACGGGUCAAAAGUGACCUGUAGUGUGGGUCAGAUUCACAAAAUUGUGUUAAAAGCUGCCUUUUUUUUCUGGUGCUCAAUCAACCGACUCAAGUUAUUUGCUUUCCACCGCUAAUUUAUCCUUCUAAUCAAAGCAUUUAUUUUACAACAGAAGGAAGAUGGCGUAAAAAAUAGAACCGAAGAACCACACAAGGUUGAAUCAAAGUUGUCUUCAAGAUAGCAGUCCUUCGGCGCACAUUUUUUGUAGCGGCGUACAAAAAGUUGCGCAAGUUAGGCUUAAACCACAUGCUAAAAGCUUAAAACAUAUAAACCAAAAAUCUUACCUUAAUGUUCAUCAUGAUAGAGUUUUAACUGUAUAACUCCUAGUUUAUCAUUCCACACGAAAAAGGGCAAUUACAAAGCAAUGGCAGGUAGUCGGGCAACAAGUUGCGCCGCCACCCCCUUUUGAAUAGAAAAACCAAUUCUACUAAAUACAAAGUUUGAAACCUUUAGCGACGAAGAAUUACUAUUAACGACUUUUUGAACCCGAUUCAAAAGUCGCACAGUGUCAGGAGCGAGACCACCAAAGGUAUCAAACGCAAACGGGACAAACACAUGUUGAUUCUCCAUUGUGUGUUACCUCAAUGUUUAAUACUAUGUCAAUGUGUUGCCUUGCAAAUUAGUAACAUGUAUUGAAACAUGGCAACUUUUGUGAUCCACAUGUGAGCUGAGGUUUCGGCCACCAAUAGUUCGAUCCACAGGUUCUUGAAAUUCCGAUGACAAGACGAAGAAGCUUGACCUCGAGGAUUGACGUCUAAAUUUGCCUGAUGGGUACAUAUCAAAACACCGUCCGAGUUAGUACGUUAUGGGUCAAGUUUGGAUCUUGACUCACAAUCCUACAAGCUUAAUGCAAGGAAAACAGAUGAUGAUUUAGAGUUCUUUAUUGAUAAUAAAGAUCUAUGCAAUCUGGUACAUAUGAAAGUGGAAAGAAACGAAAAGAAACACAUGUUGGAAAGAAGAAAGAUGGAGUCAAGUUUUAAAGAUACAACCUUGUUGACCAUUCGGGGUCAAAAUCUGGCAAAAAACUGGUUUGUUGGAGAAAGGUGAUACAACCGCACUGAGGUAUCGUCGAUUCGCUAUCAGAACCGAGUCGACUAACAGCGCCGUGCCUCACAACUAUGACUUCUACUUGUUAACAAUCGGCGUCCGUGGUGGCGGCGUUAGAGCUUCUCGUUUUACCGCCAAUUUGGGGGCUUCAGUUGCUGUUUGCGAGCUUCUGUUUGGUGUAGGCGUAGGCAAAACGUAAGUUUCUAAUAAAAUUUUGUUAUAGCUAGUGUUGUUACAAUCACAGUGGUUUUGAUACUAGAUUUAUUAGGUUUAUGAUGCUUAAAAAGCAUUGUUAGCGGGUUACUAUGAUAUUUAUUGUGUUUCUAUCAAUUAGGUUUAUGAUGCUUAAAAAGUAUUGUAAUCUAGUUACUAUGAUAUUUAUUGUGUUCCUGUCAACGAGUAAAGACUGUGUUGGG